This 301-nucleotide ribosomal RNA is filed under the name uncultured bacterium. RNAcentral describes it as "partial 16S ribosomal RNA". It matches the Rfam family "Bacterial small subunit ribosomal RNA", at positions 509 to 807 of the family's 1533-position model. The record is from RNAcentral.
CAGUAGCCACGGUAAUACGAAGGGUGCAAGCGUUAAUCGGAGUUACUGGGCGUAAAGCGUGCGUAGGCGGUGAGUUAAGUCUGCUGUGAAAUCCCCGGGCUCAACCUGGGAAUGGCAGUGGAUACUGGCUCGCUAGAGUGUGUCAGAGGAUGGUGGAAUUCCCGGUGUAGCGGUGAAAUGCGUAGAGAUCGGGAGGAACAUCAGUGGCGAAGGCGGCCAUCUGGGACAACACUGACGCUGAGGCACGAAAGCGUGGGGAGCAAACAGGAUUAGAUACCCCAGUAGUCCCUGUCUCUUAUAC